CGCCCCCACCCGGUGCCUGUGUAGUCUCUGUAGUCAAUACUACUGGUGCUGAUUCAACCUGUCGCAAAAAGUGCUGGUUCGAGUGAGCUAGAAUUCGAAAUGAUUAUUCACCAUAGUUCCAACUUUGGAGUCAAUAGCAUAACAUAAUAUAACACACAUAAUCGAUUAAAAUUAUGAGACGGAUUAUCCAUUAUAGAACUCUAAUGCCAAUAUCUUAACAUUGAUAAUGAUCAAUCAAAAAUAUAUGACGAAUGUAUCCAUACUUGUUACGUACGAUAUGAAAUUAACUUAGAAAAAAAUGAUACAUAUAUAGUAAAAGUAAGCUAAUUUACCUCAAUGGUGGCCAUCUUUCUAGAGAGAGAAAGAGAAAGGGAGAAUUGGACUUUGAGAUUUAGAGAGAGAGAGAGAGAGAGAGGGGGUUUGAUUUUGUGAGUGAUGUUAUGGAAUGAAGUGCAGAGAGGUAUUU
RNAcentral lists this long non-coding RNA (466 nucleotides) under Linum usitatissimum (flax). Its description in RNAcentral is "long non-coding RNA (LUSI_LNC007322)". The record is from RNAcentral. Lineage: Eukaryota; Viridiplantae; Streptophyta; Magnoliopsida; Malpighiales; Linaceae.